CACAUCUGAUGGUCUCAUCUUUCCAAGGCAGUGGCCCCUCAGGAAAUCUUCACCACGGAAGAGGAGCCCAGACUCCGAGGAUCUCCUGGAUGAAUCACAAUUGAUGCCUCCCUUCUCAGCUGGAUCRCCUUGCUUCCUUCAAGAAAAAAAGGGGUGGAAAGAGCCCACAGGAACUGAAAAGCAUUUGAAACUAAAGAGGCCAAGUAACAAAGAGCUUGAAGACAAGCACAGUUCUCAGGCCCUGGAUAGAGGCUGGCAGCGUCAGACCGACAGAACCAAGACGUCGUCCGAGGGGCAACGCUUGUGGCUGCGGAGCACAGGUAGGAACCUGGGUGCUGAUGACCACGGAGGCUCUUGGGGAAGAGAGG
RNAcentral lists this long non-coding RNA (368 nucleotides) under Urocitellus parryii (Arctic ground squirrel). Its description in RNAcentral is "lncRNA (ENSUPAG00010014861.1)". The record is from RNAcentral. Lineage: Eukaryota; Metazoa; Chordata; Mammalia; Rodentia; Sciuridae.